CAUGGCUCAGGAUGAACGCUGGCGGCGUGCCUAAUACAUGCAAGUCGAACGCACAGCGAAAGGUGCUUGCACCUUUCAAGUGAGUGGCGAACGGGUGAGUAACACGUGGACAACCUGCCUCAAGGCUGGGGAUAACAUUUGGAAACAGAUGCUAAUACCGAAUAAAACUUAGUGUCGCAUGACACAAAGUUAAAAGGCGCUUCGGCGUCACCUAGAGAUGGAUCCGCGGUGCAUUAGUUAGUUGGUGGGGUAAAGGCCUACCAAGACAAUGAUGCAUAGCCGAGUUGAGAGACUGAUCGGCCACAUUGGGACUGAGACACGGCCCAAACUCCUACGGGAGGCUGCAGUAGGGAAUCUUCCACAAUGGGCGAAAGCCUGAUGGAGCAACGCCGCGUGUGUGAUGAAGGCUUUCGGGUCGUAAAGCACUGUUGUAUGGGAAGAACAGCUAGAAUAGGAAAUGAUUUUAGUUUGACGGUACCAUACCAGAAAGGGACGGCUAAAUACGUGCCAGCAGCCGCGGUAAUACGUAUGUCCCGAGCGUUAUCCGGAUUUAUUGGGCGUAAAGCGAGCGCAGACGGUUUAUUAAGUCUGAUGUGAAAGCCCGGAGCUCAACUCCGGAAUGGCAUUGGAAACUGGUUAACUUGAGUGCAGUAGAGGUAAGUGGAACUCCAUGUGUAGCGGUGGAAUGCGUAGAUAUAUGGAAGAACACCAGUGGCGAAGGCGGCUUACUGGACUGCAACUGACGUGAGCUC
Molecule: ribosomal RNA, 752 nt
Filed under: Leuconostoc mesenteroides
Lineage: Bacteria; Bacillati; Bacillota; Bacilli; Lactobacillales; Lactobacillaceae
Description: bacterial SSU rRNA
Rfam family: Bacterial small subunit ribosomal RNA
Source: RNAcentral